UGGGGAAUAUUGCGCAAUGGGGGGAACCCUGACGCAGCCAUGCCGCGUGAAUGAAGAAGGCCUUCGGGUUGUAAAGUUCUUUCGGUAUUGAGGAAGGUUGAUGUGUUAAUAGCACAUCAAAUUGACGUUAAAUACAGAAGAAGCACCGGCUAACUCCGUGCCAGCAGCCGCGGUAAUACGGAGGGUGCGAGCGUUAAUCGGAAUAACUGGGCGUAAAGGGCACGCAGGCGGUUAUUUAAGUGAGGUGUGAAAGCCCCGGGCUUAACCUGGGAAUUGCAUUUCAGACUGGGUAACUAGAGUACUUUAGGGAGGGGUAGAAUUCCACGUGUAGCGGUGAAAUGCGUAGAGAUGUGGAGGAAUACCGAAGGCGAAGGCAGCCCCUUGGGAAUGUACUGACGCUCAUGUGCGAAAGCGUGGGGAGCAAACAGGAUUAGAUACCCUGGUAGUCCACGCUGUAAACGCUGUCGAUUUGGGGGUUGGGGUUUAACUCUGGCGCCCGUAGCUAACGUGAUAAAUCGACCGCCUGGGGAGUACGGCCACAAGGUUA
RNAcentral lists this ribosomal RNA (547 nucleotides) under uncultured bacterium. RNAcentral's name for it is "bacterial SSU rRNA". It matches the Rfam family "Bacterial small subunit ribosomal RNA", at positions 355 to 896 of the family's 1533-position model. The record is from RNAcentral.